RNAcentral lists this ribosomal RNA (220 nucleotides) under uncultured Lactobacillus sp. RNAcentral's name for it is "partial 16S ribosomal RNA". It matches the Rfam family "Bacterial small subunit ribosomal RNA", at positions 144 to 355 of the family's 1533-position model. Lineage: Bacteria; Bacillati; Bacillota; Bacilli; Lactobacillales; Lactobacillaceae. The record is from RNAcentral.
UAACACCUGGAAACAAGAUGCUAAUACCGGAUAACAACAGAUGAUGCCUAUCAACUGUUUAAAAGAUGGUUCUGCUAUCACUCUUGGAUGGACCUGCGGUGCAUUAGCUAGUUGGUAGGGUAACGGCCUACCAAGGCGAUGAUGCAUAGCCGAGUUGAGAGACUGAUCGGCCACAUUGGGACUGAGACACGGCCCCAAACUCCUACGGGAGGCAGCAGCC